CCCCCCGCCCCACCUAAAGGGGCGAAAUUACCAGAAAACCAGUUGAUUAAUAACGGUAAAUGAUUACCCGACACUAUAACGAGUAAUCAUUUACCGAUCGUGUUUAAAACAUAUAAACACGACAGUUUGGGUUUUGAAACCCAUUAUUUCAAAACCCAAAUUUCCUUCCCCAAAUCGCACCCUCUUCAAUCUCUCUCAAAACUCGGUUCCACCACUUAAAUCUCCCUCAAAGCUCGGUUCUAAUCAUCAUUAAAGCUCCCUCAAAGACCCAUUCCAUUACAUUCAAAAGGUAAGUUUUGAUUUUCAAUGAUUCUCACAUUUCAAGUUUGAAUUAGGUGAAUGAUUGAACACUAGGGUAGUUGAUUGAUGAUUAGAGGUAGGUUUUGUUGUGUUUUGUUGCCUGAAAUUGCAUGAAAUGAGUAUGGGCACGAAUGGGGUGCAUUUGGGUCUGCUCUGGUUCACUGUA
Molecule: long non-coding RNA, 466 nt
Filed under: Lotus japonicus
Lineage: Eukaryota; Viridiplantae; Streptophyta; Magnoliopsida; Fabales; Fabaceae
Description: long non-coding RNA (LJAP_LNC000021)
Source: RNAcentral